AAGUGCUUGCACGCCUGGUGGCGGCCGCGGUCUUCAAAACCGUUGGGCGGCGCGUUAACCGCGUCGCUGGUGGGUUCGAUUCCCAUGCACUUCC
RNAcentral lists this transfer RNA (94 nucleotides) under marine eukaryotic metagenome. RNAcentral describes it as "Selenocysteine transfer RNA". It matches the Rfam family "Selenocysteine transfer RNA". The record is from RNAcentral.